UACAGAGGGUGCGAGCGUUGUUCGGAAUUAUUGGGCGUAAAGGGCGCGUAGGCGGUGCGGUAAGUCACCUGUGAAAUCUCCUGGCUCAACUGGGAGCUUGCAGGCGAAACUGCCGUGCUGGAGUGUGGGAGAGGUGAGUGGAAUUCCCGGUGUAGCGGUGAAAUGCGUAGAUAUCGUUUGGAACGCCAAUGGUGAAAACAGCUCGCUGGGGAUGUGCCGACGCUGAGACACGAAAGCCAGGGGAGCGAACGGG
This 253-nucleotide ribosomal RNA is filed under the name uncultured bacterium. Its description in RNAcentral is "partial 16S ribosomal RNA". It matches the Rfam family "Bacterial small subunit ribosomal RNA", at positions 524 to 776 of the family's 1533-position model. The record is from RNAcentral.